CAAGGAUCUUAAUUAGGGUGGAUCAUGUUACCCUGUAGACCAAGGUUCUUAAUCAGGGUGGGUCGCAUUACCCUGUAGACCAAGGAUCUUAAUCAGGGUGGGUCACAUUACCCUGUAGACCAAGGAUCUUAAUUAGGGUGGAUCAUGUUACCCUGUAGACCAAGAAUCUCAAACAGGGUGGGUCACAUUACCCUGUAGACCAUGGUUCCUAAUCAGGGUGUGCCAUGUUAGAUUGGUGGACAUGUAUGGACUCAAUUUGACCAUGUUAUCUGAAGCAUUCACCAUUCCUUAAAAAGGUUACAAGUAAAUGCAUAAUGACUAGCAGUCAAGAGGAUGACAAAAUUGAUGAUUAAAUGAAUAGUCAAAAAACUA
This is a long non-coding RNA of Haliotis rubra (blacklip abalone), 372 nucleotides long. RefSeq lists it as uncharacterized. The record is from RefSeq and is a predicted model, not a curated record. NCBI's taxonomy places the organism in Eukaryota, Metazoa, Mollusca, Gastropoda, Lepetellida, Haliotidae. The transcript has 3 exons.